GGGUUGUGAGGUUAAGCGACUAAGCGUACACGGUGGAUGCCCUGGCAGUCAGAGGCGAUGAAGGGCGUGCUAAUCUGCGAUAAGCGCCGGUAAGGUGAUAUGAACCGUUAUAACCGGCGAUACCCGAAUGGGGAAACCCAGUGUGAUUCGUCACACUAUCAUUAACUGAAUCCAUAGGUUAAUGAGGCGAACCGGGGGAACUGAAACAUCUAAGUACCCCGAGGAAAAGAAAUCAACCGAGAUUCCCCCAGUAGCGGCGAGCGAACGGGGAGGAGCCCAGAGCCUGAAUCAGCAUGUGUGUUAGUGGAAGCGUCUGGAAAGGCGCGCGAUACAGGGUGACAGCCCCGUACACAAAAGCGCAUGUGCUGUGAGCUCGAUGAGUAGGGCGGGACACGUGGUAUCCUGUCUGAAUAUGGGGGGACCAUCCUCCAAGGCUAAAUACUCCUGACUGACCGAUAGUGAACCAGUACCGUGAGGGAAAGGCGAAAAGAACCCCGGCGAGGGGAGUGAAAAAGAACCUGAAACCGUGUACGUACAAGCAGUGGGAGCCCCACCACUAAGCCAGUGGUGAACUCCACAUACGCAUCCUUUGCUGAGGAUACGGUUAACGGAGCGAAAGCGACGUUCAACCUCAAAAGAAGCAGAGGGGGCUUAGUGGUGGGGUGACUGCGUACCUUUUGUAUAAUGGGUCAGCGACUUAUAUUCUGUAGCAAGGUUAACCGAAUAGGGGAGCCGGAGGGAAACCGAGUCUUAACCGGGCGUUAAGUUGCAGGGUAUAGACCCGAAACCCGGUGAUCUAGCCAUGGGCAGGUUGAAGGUUGGGUAACACUAACUGGAGGACCGAACCGACUAAUGUUGAAAAAUUAGCGGAUGACCUGUGGCUGGGGGUGAAAGGCCAAUCAAACCGGGAGAUAGCUGGUUCUCCCCGAAAGCUAUUUAGGUAGCGCCUCGUGAAUUCAUCUCCGGGGGUAGAGCACUGUUUCGGCUAGGGGGCCAUCCCGGCUUACCAACCCGAUGCAAACUGCGAAUACCGGAGAAUGUUAUCACGGGAGACACACGGCGGGUGCUAACGUCCGUCGUGAAGAGGGAAACAACCCAGACCGCCAGCUAAGGUCCCAAAGUCAUGGUUAAGUGGGAAACGAUGUGGGAAGGCCCAGACAGCCAGGAUGUUGGCUUAGAAGCAGCCAUCAUUUAAAGAAAGCGUAAUAGCUCACUGGUCGAGUCGGCCUGCGCGGAAGAUGUAACGGGGCUAAACCAUGCACCGAAGCUGCGGCAGCGAACGUAUCACUUAAAGCGAUUCAGCGGGUUACGAUUGACGGAGCGAAGCGACGUCAAAGCGUAUACAAAGUCGAGUCGGUUUAAGGAUACGUUCGUUGGGUAGGGGAGCGUUCUGUAAGCCUGUGAAGGUGUGUCGUGAGGCAUGCUGGAGGUAUCAGAAGUGCGAAUGCUGACAUAAGUAACGAUAAAGCGGGUGAAAAGCCCGCUCGCCGGAAGACCAAGGGUUCCUGUCCAACGUUAAUCGGGGCAGGGUGAGUCGACCCCUAAGGCGAGGCCGAAAGGCGUAGUCGAUGGGAAACGGGUUAAUAUUCCCGUACUUGGUGUUACUGCGAAGGGGGGACGGAGAAGGCUAUGUUGGCCGGGCGACGGUUGUCCCGGUUUAAGCGUGUAGGUGUGUGUUCCAGGUAAAUCCGGUUCACUUUAACACUGAGGCGUGAUGACGAGGCACUACGGUGCUGAAGCAACAAAUGCCCUGCUUCCAGGAAAAGCCUCUAAGCAUCAGGUAACAUCAAAUCGUACCCCAAACCGACACAGGUGGUCAGGUAGAGAAUACCAAGGCGCUUGAGAGAACUCGGGUGAAGGAACUAGGCAAAAUGGUGCCGUAACUUCGGGAGAAGGCACGCUGACACGUAGGUGAAGUGAUUUACUCAUGGAGCUGAAGUCAGUCGAAGAUACCAGCUGGCUGCAACUGUUUAUUAAAAACACAGCACUGUGCAAACACGAAAGUGGACGUAUACGGUGUGACGCCUGCCCGGUGCCGGAAGGUUAAUUGAUGGGGUCAGCGCAAGCGAAGCUCCUGAUCGAAGCCCCGGUAAACGGCGGCCGUAACUAUAACGGUCCUAAGGUAGCGAAAUUCCUUGUCGGGUAAGUUCCGACCUGCACGAAUGGCGUAAUGAUGGCCAGGCUGUCUCCACCCGAGACUCAGUGAAAUUGAACUCGCUGUGAAGAUGCAGUGUACCCGCGGCAAGACGGAAAGACCCCGUGAACCUUUACUAUAGCUUGACACUGAACAUUGAGCCUUGAUGUGUAGGAUAGGUGGGAGGCUUUGAAGUGUGGACGCCAGUCUGCAUGGAGCCGACCUUGAAAUACCACCCUUUAAUGUUUGAUGUUCUAACGUGGACCCGUUACCCGGGUUGCGGACAGUGUCUGGUGGGUAGUUUGACUGGGGCGGUCUCCUCCUAAAGAGUAACGGAGGAGCACGAAGGUUGGCUAAUCCUGGUCGGACAUCAGGAGGUUAGUGCAAUGGCAUAAGCCAGCUUGACUGCGAGCGUGACGGCGCGAGCAGGUGCGAAAGCAGGUCAUAGUGAUCCGGUGGUUCUGAAUGGAAGGGCCAUCGCUCAACGGAUAAAAGGUACUCCGGGGAUAACAGGCUGAUACCGCCCAAGAGUUCAUAUCGACGGCGGUGUUUGGCACCUCGAUGUCGGCUCAUCACAUCCUGGGGCUGAAGUAGGUCCCAAGGGUAUGGCUGUUCGCCAUUUAAAGUGGUACGCGAGCUGGGUUUAGAACGUCGUGAGACAGUUCGGUCCCUAUCUGCCGUGGGCGCUGGAGAACUGAGGGGGGCUGCUCCUAGUACGAGAGGACCGGAGUGGACGCAUCACUGGUGUUCGGGUUGUCAUGCCAAUGGCACUGCCCGGUAGCUAAAUGCGGAAGAGAUAAGUGCUGAAAGCAUCUAAGCACGAAACUUGCCCCGAGAUGAGUUCUCCCUGAGACUUUAGGUCUCCUGAAGGAACGUUGAAGACGACGACGUUGAUAGGCCGGGUGUGUAAGCGCAGCGAUGCGUUGAGCUAACCGGUACUAAUGAACCGUGAGGCUUAACCUUACAACGCCGAAG
This 3109-nucleotide ribosomal RNA is filed under the name Salmonella enterica. Its description in RNAcentral is "23S ribosomal RNA". It matches the Rfam family "Bacterial large subunit ribosomal RNA". The record is from RNAcentral. Lineage: Bacteria; Pseudomonadati; Pseudomonadota; Gammaproteobacteria; Enterobacterales; Enterobacteriaceae.